Molecule: RNA transcript, 2489 nt
Organism: Alligator sinensis (Chinese alligator)
Lineage: Eukaryota; Metazoa; Chordata; Crocodylia; Alligatoridae
Gene: GPR157
Gene name: G protein-coupled receptor 157
Exons: 6
Source: RefSeq, a predicted model, not a curated record
GGGACGCGGCCCGGCCCCGGGGCAGCCGGAGCGCGGAGCUCACAUGAUGCAGCGAGGGGCCGGGCCGAGCCGGGCCGGGCCGGCAGCGCCCCCCUCCUGCCUGCCCCGCGGAGCCGGCUGUGCUGUGCACCAUGCAGCCCAUGCCCCCGACGGAGCUGUACCCCUGGGAGCGCAUCACGGUGCUGAGCUCCUGCGCGCUGUCCUUCCUGGGCUCCAGCCUGCUGGUGUGCACCCAUGCCCUGUGGCCCGAGCUGCGCACGCGGCCCCGCCAGCUCCUGCUCUACCUGUCCCUGGCAGACCUGCUGUCGGCCGCCUCCUACUUCUACGGGGUGCUCCAGGACUUCGGCACCACGUCGUGGGACUGCGUGCUGCAGGGCGCCCUGUCCACCUUCUCCAACACCAGCUCCUUCUUCUGGACCAUGGCCAUCGCCAUCUACCUGUACAUCACCAUCGUCAGGGGCGCGCCCACGGGCACCGGCCUGCUCUGCUUCUUCCACGCGGUGAGACUAGGGAUGUGCUUUACGUGCUGGCUGGACUUGGUGAAUCAUCGUUCAGUAGUCUCUAAGGAAAAGUGGAAGCAUCAGGACAUGGUCACUGCUCCAUCACUGCUCUGUGACACAGGGUGCAGCAUGGUUUCCUGGCAUUCAGCACUGAAGGGCUGGGGAAUCCCACUUUGCAUCACAGUGGCUGCCGUCGCCUUGAAAAAGAUUGGUUAUGAUGCAUCAAAUGUGUCUGUGGGAUGGUGCUGGAUCAACCUGGAAGCAGAGGAUCGGGUCCUUUGGAUGCUGUUGGCAGGGAAGAUCUGGGAGAUUCUGGCCUACCUCAUCUUGCCACUUCUCUACAUCCUCAUCAAGAAACACAUCAACAGAGCGCAUGCGGCACUAUCUGAAUAUCGUCCCAUCCUAGCGAGAACACCUGCCUUUCAGCCCAGGACAUCCAUUGCAGAUAAGAAGCUGAUCCUUAUCCCUAUCAUCUUCAUCUUCCUCCGCAUCUGGAGUACCGUGCGGUUCAUCCUGACCCUCUGCGGCUCCCCGGCCGUGCAGAAUUCCCUCCUGGUGGUCCUGCAUGGAAUUGGGAACACGUUCCAGGGAGGUGCCAACUGCAUCAUGUUCGUGCUCUGCACCCGGGUGGUACGGACGCGGCUGCUCUCCUACCUCUGCUGCUGUCGCUACGAUGCCUCUAAUCAGUCUCCGCAGAACUCAGACGGGCAUUACCAGCAGACCGAACCCCACAAGAGCAGAGAAGUGCAAGAGACCGACCGGAAGAAGGCCAUGUUCUCCAGUACCUGAGCCAUGGAUCUCCAAACCGCAAUGGUAGCGUCUGUCUUUCUUGGUAAACAUCUAAUUGUAUUUGACUUGCCACCACGUGCCUAUAGAGGGAGCUAAAGACUGGAAGAAAAGGAACAUCAAACGCAGGCCACGUCGCAGGACAAGCGCCCGGCUGGAAGUCCUAUCCCAGCUGAGGCUGCCUUGGCUCCUUUCUCAGGAUCUCCUGGAAGAUGUUACUACAUCACGCUCCAACUUCAUCCGUCCUUCUUGUCUCAUAGAAACUUAGACGUUAUUCUUGGGGUGUGAUUUCCCUUUUUUAGGAGGUGGAUUGCUCACUGUGUAUCCAGGGAGGAGGAAAACCACGAUGAUCUGAAAAUGCUGAAGCUUCUGAGUGGACCUGUCUUGGGCAUGUGAUAGAUUUAACUCCUGGUGCACAAGGUCUUGAAAGGCACCUUGUCCAGGCCCUGGUCCUCCUCCCUGGGUGGAUGGGGACAGUGACUUAACAAUGUCUUCUUUUUUAAAUUCCUUGGGUGUUUUCCUUUGGUGUUUUGUCCCUCCAGCAGGGCAGGCAGCAACUCAUCUGCCCUCCUAGAUUUGGGGUGUGAUGAGUUUGCAUUGCCUCUUGGGGAAAUUCACGGCUGUGUGGGCAGUUUGUUGUUGAGGGUAGCUAACUUGGGAUGAUUACCGAACAUGCUCCAUCCAAUGGGAACAGCCUGUGAAUGGACAUAUAGAUGGGUUGUGUUGUGUAUCCUCCGAAUCCAGGGUUUACUGCUUCCAAAGUAUAAUCUGUUUUUUUUUGUUUAAUGCUUCCUUUUCCCUAACUGGCAUUUUAAAAUCACAGCUUGAGUUUUUGGAGACACUAUCCUUUUAAGAACGUGUCCUGUUUACAGCUCCUCUUUCUAUGCACUUUCUAAACCUUUGUCAUUUUAACAAAAUCUUCUCCUUUCUAGCAUUUUUUGUACACAGAUGUUGUCAUUCACUGUUGUAACAACAGACAAAUGAGCCUAUCGACCUCUCUCUGCAACUAAGGGUGGGGUGGAGCAGAGAGACAGAAACUGUGCAACAGUGUUUUUACAGAUGACUGGGGUGUCUGUAAUUUAACAAAUGACUGACAUUUUAAGGCAUGUACAGGAAGACGAGUCACCCAUGCUGUCUGUAUGUGGGUUGCUCUUCCCUAUUUUUCUACGGGACUAUAAAGCUCUCAUCAGUGUUGUGAGAGAA